AUGAACGCUGGCGGCGUGCCUCAUACCUGCCAGUCGCGCGAACAGACGAGGAGCUUGCUCCUCUGACGUUAGCGGCGGCCGGGUGAGUAACACGUGGAUAACCUACCUAUAAGACUGGGAUAACUUCGGGAAACCGGAGCUAAUACCGGAUAAUAUAUUGAACCGCAUGGUUCAAUAGUGAAAGACGGUUUUGCUGUCACUUAUAGAUGGAUCCGCGCCGCAUUAGCUAGUUGGUAAGGUAACGGCUUACCAAGGCAACGAUGCGUAGCCGACCUGAGAGGGUGAUCGGCCACACUGGAACUGAGACACGGUCCAGACUCCUACGGGAGGCAGCAGUAGGGAAUCUUCCGCAAUGGGCGAAAGCCUGACGGAGCAACGCCGCGUGAGUGAUGAAGGUCUUCGGAUCGUAAAACUCUGUUAUUAGGGAAGAACAAAUGUGUAAGUAACUAUGCACGUCUUGACGGUACCUAAUCAGAAAGCCACGGCUAACUACGUG
RNAcentral lists this ribosomal RNA (496 nucleotides) under uncultured bacterium. Its description in RNAcentral is "partial 16S ribosomal RNA". It matches the Rfam family "Bacterial small subunit ribosomal RNA", at positions 29 to 507 of the family's 1533-position model. The record is from RNAcentral.